Paramuricea clavata is the source of this 233-nucleotide non-coding RNA. The record is from the annotation of a GenBank genome assembly. NCBI's taxonomy places the organism in Eukaryota, Metazoa, Cnidaria, Anthozoa, Malacalcyonacea, Plexauridae.
CUUACCUUGGUGUGAUAUGCUUUCGAAUAUCUCUACACGAAAAGUCUUCUAAUCCCCACCAUUUCCAGGUUGUGACAAUGGGUUUUUCGCAAGUCAGAUCCUCAAAUGGCUCCGAUUCCCGUCGAAGAAAAUGCAGCAAAGGCAAAGCAGGCAGCCAAUUAUGAACAAGAAGCCUGUUUGAUGAUUGUUUUUGGUAAAACUGCAGGAUUAUCUUGAUGAAGGUACUACAUAUA